AUUUGCUGGAGCCCGGGCACCGCGGACCGUGCAACUCGCCGCCCCGGUCCAGGGGGCCGCCCAGGCGCUGCCGAGAGCUCACCUCGGGGGCCUUCCCGCGGCACAGGCCGUGACACCGCGCCCAGCCUCCGGUCCCCAGCGGGGAUCCGGGAUCCCGUGGGAAAAGGGCAACUGUGGACCUGACCAGACCCGUGUGCAGCUGAGAAGGCCUGGUUCACAGCAAUGCCUGAAGCCUCUUGGGCUGCAGGGCCCUCCCAGAGACACUCACCAGAUGGUCUGUCCUGGGGCAGGCCAGGCCCCGACACAGGUCUGGCAGCGAGAGGGAGCCAUGCAGCUUCAGGGGCAGGUGCCGGGUCCAAGUCUCUCCUCGCCCCGGGAGCAACACUCAGCUCCAGGCUCUGUGCCAUGGAGGAGGCGGCAGGUGGCCAGCCCACAGAGUGGCAUCCAGGAGACAGCCUGAGGUUGUGAUGAAGUGGGGAUUUUCCCUGGUUUGCUGUAUGUAAUUCUUACUGUUGAGCCUAGGUGACUUUUACUGUUUUGCAUGAAUACUGUGUGUGCCUCAGUUUCCCUGUGUGCUGCACCAAUACCUCGGGGGUGGGAACAGGGGCGUGUGACUUUGGCUGAGAUCUCUGGGGCAGGUGAGGCGGCGCCAGCUGCCUGCACCUAUGCUAUGACCAGUGCCCUUCGGAACCUGAGACCCAGGUGAGGGAUGUGACCAGGUGACAUUGUGCCUGGGAAGCAAGACAAAGAGAAGGAGGAAGAGCAAUGGGGGGGUCAGAGUUCGGGUCGCUGGAAGCUGGCAGUCUGCUUGGGGAGAUGGAGGGGGGAGUCCAGGGCGUCUGGCCCAGGGUUCCCCCAAGAUGGACUUGACUGAAAGUCACUUAUUUUCUGUGCUAACAAGCUCUGCUGUACACUGUGUUCCUGUCGACGAAUAAACCUUCUGUUUCCCCGGCUGGCGGAGAGUCACGUCUGACUGCGGAGUUCGGGGGCAGGACCCUCUGGCUUCCCCAGGAGCCCUGCCUGGGCGGACUCGCUGCGGGAAGCGCAUGGGGAGGAAGGGGAUGCUGAAUACUCCGAGGUCAGACCCAGGAAGGUCGAAGCUGUGGAAGCUUCUUGCCCUGGUGACAAUAUGCACACAGAGAGGAGGCUCCCCCAGAGUCCUGCCUGGCUUCAUACGGCGCAGUUCCAGAGCAUCGCCCGGGGACUCCGUGACACCUGGUGGUAGAGGUGGGAUAAACUGCACCCUGUGGACAGAGCAUCCUGCAGUGACACAGGGCCAGAAAGAGUUAAUGACCUCCCAGACUGACCUGACCCAGGGCCCAACUUUAGAGACUGCUUAGGAAGAGAUGGAAAGGAGGAGAGCUGUGAACUGCAGCCCGCACUGCUAGAGAGAGAAGGGGAGAUGCUGGCUCAGGGCUUGUGAUGUCAGCAAACGAGUCUUGUCUAUUGCCACGGCUUUGAUUCAAAGAUCAAAACAGGAGUGUGAAGAUCUAGGAAGACACUGGAGGGCAACAGUGUUGUUGUCUCUCUGUCUCCGGGAAGGUUGGGGUAACCUGUAUCUGAACCGUUUAAUGAUAAAUUACCCUGGGCUAAUUGCCAGGAUGUUUGGGAGAAGGAAGGUUGAGCCUAUUGUCUUCUCAGGCCAAGAGGCUGCUGGAAAUGUAUAAAAGCCCUGGGACACGAUCCUCCUUCAUCUCAGAUCGGCUUUGGGUUUCAAGAAGGGGAAACCCUGAGCCAUAAGGAUUGAGAUCCCCAGUCACUGACUGGAGUCACCCUGAACAUGGACAUUGGACUGUAACCUCUGGGCUGUUUCUAAAAGGACGUUUGGCCACUACAGACUCACCAUCUCUGCUCGGUAUCGUGACCUCAAGAACUGAACU
This is a long non-coding RNA of Caretta caretta (loggerhead turtle), 1880 nucleotides long. RefSeq lists it as uncharacterized. The record is from RefSeq and is a predicted model, not a curated record. NCBI's taxonomy places the organism in Eukaryota, Metazoa, Chordata, Testudines, Cheloniidae.